AAUUGAGGGAGUGAGGAAGAGAGCAGCUCGCUUCUAACUGGACUGCACGUUGGUGACAGUGUCUCAAGCUGGUGACAGACCCACUCUGUAACUUUCAGCUAGAUUCAGCCACCAGAUCCCAGAAACAUGACCCUUGCUGCCUACAAAGAGAAGAUGAAGGAGCUCCCGCUGGUGUCCUUGUUCUGCUCCUGCUUCCUGGCCGAUCCCCUGAAUAAGUCGUCCUACAAAUAUGAAGGUUAGUGAAGGCUCAGCCAGGAAAGUGAGGGGCGGGGGGGCCCUGUGUCCUGUCCUCAUGGGUCCUGCACCCCGACCCCAGUUCAGUGAAUCUCUCCUCCCGAGACAGUUUCCUUCCCAGUGCCGAUGAAAUCACAGCGGGUGAGCCCGAGGGUCUGAGCUGCAGUGGUCCAGCCUGGGCACUAGGGGGAGGCCAUGAAGGUCUGCAUCAGGCGCCCCCCAGAGUGCACUCGAUCUUGUCACCUCUGUGCAUGCAUCCAGCAAAUCGAGACUGGGGGGUAUGCAAAGGCUGGUGUGGGAGACAGUGUAGGAGGAAGGAUGAAAGCCAGCGGAAAGACAGUGCUGACUGGAGAGAAAGAAGAGCGCAGGCAGACACGGUGGACCUGAAUUGGUGCGUCAUUUCCGACAUGGAAGUCAUCGAGCUGAACAAAUGCACCUCGGGCCAGUCCUUUGAAGUCAUCCUG
This 698-nucleotide small RNA is filed under the name Pan troglodytes (chimpanzee). Its description in RNAcentral is "retained intron". Lineage: Eukaryota; Metazoa; Chordata; Mammalia; Primates; Hominidae. The record is from RNAcentral.